CGGCACGGGUGAGUAAUACAUCGGAACGUGUCUUCUAGUGGGGGAUAACUGCCCGAAAGGGCAGCUAAUACCGCAUGAGACCUGAGGGUGAAAGCGGGGGAUCGCAAGACCUCGCGCUGGAAGAGCGGCCGAUGUCCGAUUAGCUAGUUGGUGAGGUAAAGGCUCACCAAGGCGACGAUCGGUAGCCGGACUGAGAGGUUGAACGGCCACAUUGGGACUGAGACACGGCCCAG
This 233-nucleotide ribosomal RNA is filed under the name uncultured bacterium. RNAcentral describes it as "partial 16S ribosomal RNA". It matches the Rfam family "Bacterial small subunit ribosomal RNA", at positions 100 to 334 of the family's 1533-position model. The record is from RNAcentral.